Molecule: ribosomal RNA, 349 nt
Filed under: Hyphasis sp. BMNH 846623
Lineage: Eukaryota; Metazoa; Arthropoda; Insecta; Coleoptera; Chrysomelidae
Description: partial 16S ribosomal RNA
Source: RNAcentral
UUAAAUGGCCGCAGUAAAUUGACUGUGCUAAGGUAGCAUAAUCAUUAGUUUUUUAAUUGAAAGCUGGAAUGAAGGGUUGGAUGAAAAAAUAGCUGUCUUUAAUUGAUUAUUUUAUAAUUUUAUAUUUAAGUUAAAAAGCUUAAAUGUUUUUAAAAGACGAGAAGACCCUAUAGAGUUUAAUAUUUUUAUUAUUAUUUAAUUAUAUAAUAUAAUUAUUUAAUUGGGGUGAUUAAAAAAUAUAGUUAACUUUUUUUUUAUUUUAAUAUAGAUUAAUAGUUAUAUGAUCCAAUUAUUUUGAUUAAAAGAAUAAAUUACCUUAGGGAUAACAGCGUAAUUUUAUUUUAAAGUU